AGAAAGUUGGAAGUGGAAAAUAUAAUCCCCAGAGUAGCAUUUCAUUUGAUAUGUGUGCAGCAGGUCCAUUUUGGGAACUGCCUGAUGGUUUGAAGAAUAACACCAAUCUCAUUGAAAACAUUUUUGAAAAACUACCAACUGCUGAAAUACAGGCACAUAACACAGUGGACUUGAGAACAGCAGAAAAAGCAUUGACUGAUAAUGAAAAAAUUGUAUCAGAAGAAUGCUUAAGUGGUCUUCAGAACAAGAAGAAAUGUUCUUGAGGAACUACUUCUGGGGAGCCUGAACCUGAUUUAGAUGAGAUCCAAGACUGUACUGAUGUCAUAAUGAAAUGUUUCCAUCAAUGGGAAGUGUGGGAAGAAUGCAGGAGAAUGGGGAGAGUGAGAGAGAAGGAAUCAAGGAGAAAAAUAGAGAGGCAAGACAUUUAUGGGACACAGAAAUGGAUGGCUAUCUGUUGAUCAUAACAUGUAUGGAAUUUUAUCAUGGAUCCAAUUGGGUCUUCUAUGUAUACA
Long non-coding RNA from Tupaia belangeri chinensis (Chinese tree shrew), 512 nucleotides. RefSeq lists it as uncharacterized. Lineage: Eukaryota; Metazoa; Chordata; Mammalia; Scandentia; Tupaiidae. The record is from RefSeq and is a predicted model, not a curated record. The transcript has 4 exons.